RNAcentral lists this non-coding RNA (199 nucleotides) under Anaerotignum propionicum DSM 1682. The record is from RNAcentral. Lineage: Bacteria; Bacillati; Bacillota; Clostridia; Lachnospirales; Anaerotignaceae.
GCAAACUGAUAAUUCGAUUGGUGGAAUGACGGAGUAACGCCCCGAAACGCCAACCUUGAUACUCCGACUGGCUCUACUCAAAAGGUAGAUGUUCAGAAGCUCGGUGAAGUCGGCAGAGAGUUACCGUAUUGUGCUAUAAAAGUACAACGAAAGCUGUUCAGCGGUGAAUGGUGUAACCUAUAUGCCGGAGGUCUAUAAA